CCCCCUUUAGCUGAGUUGGUAGAGCGCUCCACCUGUAAUGGAGAGGUCCCGGGUUCGAUACCCGGACCAGGCGGA
RNAcentral lists this transfer RNA (75 nucleotides) under Ixodes scapularis (black-legged tick). RNAcentral describes it as "tRNA-Thr". The stretch from base 7 to 66 matches the Rfam family "tRNA", at positions 7 to 64 of the family's 71-position model. Rfam says of the family: Transfer RNA (tRNA) molecules are approximately 80 nucleotides in length. Their secondary structure includes four short double-helical elements and three loops (D, anti-codon, and T loops). The record is from RNAcentral. Lineage: Eukaryota; Metazoa; Arthropoda; Arachnida; Ixodida; Ixodidae.